This 277-nucleotide small nuclear RNA is filed under the name Nannospalax galili (Upper Galilee mountains blind mole rat). RNAcentral's name for it is "7SK RNA (ENSNGAG00000001767.1)". It matches the Rfam family "7SK RNA". Rfam says of the family: 7SK was discovered as an abundant small nuclear RNA in the mid-70s but a possible function has only recently been suggested. Two independent studies have found that 7SK RNA binds the CDK9/cyclin T complex (known as elongation factor P-TEFb). P-TEFb activates transcription by phosphorylating the C-terminal domain of RNA polymerase II. The record is from Rfam by way of RNAcentral. Lineage: Eukaryota; Metazoa; Chordata; Mammalia; Rodentia; Spalacidae.
AUGAGGGAGAUCUGGGUGAGACAUCUGUCACCCUAUUGACUGUCAGAGGUCAUUCAAUUAAUCUAUUGGGCUAGGCUGGUGUCCCCUUCCUUCCUUACCAAAGUUUCUGGUUUUGUGCUGGGUCAAAGAGAAGACCUUCCCUGAUAGAGGGCUGGUCUCUAUAGGAGCUUUGCUGCUAGAACCUCCAGACACACUCUCAAGGUCCAUUUCUAGGAGAACCUAAGGCAGUCAAGCUCCUAACACUCCUGACACAUCCUGCACUGCCUGUGGCAGUCUA